AUGCCUUUCCCAGUCUUUUGGCUAAGAUAAAGUGUAAUAUUUGUUCUAUCAGUUUAAUAUCUGAUAUGUGUACCAUAUAUUACUUUAAUAUUAAAUUUAUUUCUUACGCUUCCACAUAGAACCAUUUUGCUGGCUGAGGGAAGACGAGCUGAGGAAGCUAU
This 161-nucleotide small nuclear RNA is filed under the name Zea mays. RNAcentral describes it as "U2 spliceosomal RNA". It matches the Rfam family "U2 spliceosomal RNA". From Rfam's summary of the family: U2 is a small nuclear RNA (snRNA) component of the spliceosome (involved in pre-mRNA splicing). Complementary binding between U2 snRNA (in an area lying towards the 5' end but 3' to hairpin I) and the branchpoint sequence (BPS) of the intron results the bulging out of an unpaired adenosine, on the BPS, which initiates a nucleophilic attack at the intronic 5' splice site, thus starting the first of two transesterification reactions that mediate splicing. Lineage: Eukaryota; Viridiplantae; Streptophyta; Magnoliopsida; Poales; Poaceae. The record is from Rfam by way of RNAcentral.